This is a long non-coding RNA of Momordica charantia (bitter melon), 943 nucleotides long. RefSeq lists it as uncharacterized. The record is from RefSeq and is a predicted model, not a curated record. NCBI's taxonomy places the organism in Eukaryota, Viridiplantae, Streptophyta, Magnoliopsida, Cucurbitales, Cucurbitaceae.
UAUAGGGCAGCCGACGCGUCGUGGGUAUGCAGAGCAGAGGUAGAAAUUUCGCCCUCGGCGCUCCUUCUCCUACUUCACCGCAGGGAAUCUCGAAGAAGUUCCGACACACUUCCGACGAGGACGGAUUGCGGGGAAGUUGCCGCUGCUUGCUUGAAUGGAAGCUGAAAUCUCAAACGAUCGGAUUAGUGGUGAAGUUUUAGAAGACCAAGACUACUUGGAGAAGAUAAAUAAGCUAGAGGGUUACAUGGAUGAGUGUUUUUAUCUGGUGCUUGGUGGCUCAUGUUCAAUUCAGGUGAAGAAGAUUGCAAGAGAAAGCUGUUCCCAAGAAGUUGUAGAAGUGGCAUUGCGCUCAAUCUCCUCCCUAAUUACCCUUCUCUCCUCCAUGUCUUCUACCAACCUCAUCCUCCAUUCUUCACUUUGAUCUUCACCCCAUAUCCCCUUUUGUUUCCUGUCAAAUGCAUGUACACGACCUUCCUGCCGUGGAUUAUGUGAAUACUAUUUUUUCUUUUUUGGAUGGGAAGUCGGAGCUUUGCUCCCCUACACCUAGGCUCGGAAGACAUCAACAGUUUAUUGUAUUGGGCUUAUCAGAAGAUUUGAACUCGAGACCUCUAAGCAGUAUGAUUCAGAAACUCCAAGCCCAUUACCAACUGGGUUCCCUUUGGGGCACUUUUCCGUUUUCUCGUCUUUAUGUCUUCCAACAGUAGUCAAUCUAAGCAUACUUUACAAGAAACUUCACUUAUUACCGUCCGGUUGAUGCAAUUUUUGGGGAACUCAGGUCGGGUCGAAGGGUGAGGUUGACCGAAUCGAGCUAUCGAGUAAAUCGAUCGUCGGGUGGUUGAGGAAGAGUGGAGUCUAGGGUUGGAAUAGCGAUGAUCUGCAAUAAGUGAGGAUAUAAGGAAAAGAACACUGGUGUUGUGUCUAUCGACCACACUUCGAUGCUUAA